UACGAAGGGGGCUAGCGUUGUUCGGAAUCACUGGGCGUAAAGCGCACGUAGGCGGAUCUUUAAGUCAGGGGUGAAAUCCCGGGGCUCAACCUCGGAACUGCCUUUGAUACUGCAAAUCUCGAGUCCGGAAGAGGUGAGUGGAAUUCCUAGUGUAGAGGUGAAAUUCGUAGAUAUUAGGAAGAACACCAGUGGCGAAGGCGGCUCACUGGUCCGGUACUGACGCUGAGGUGCGAAAGCGUGGGGAGCAAACAGG
RNAcentral lists this ribosomal RNA (253 nucleotides) under uncultured bacterium. Its description in RNAcentral is "partial 16S ribosomal RNA". It matches the Rfam family "Bacterial small subunit ribosomal RNA", at positions 524 to 776 of the family's 1533-position model. The record is from RNAcentral.